GUGUUAAAGAGGUUCCCAAAACUGAGCCCACCAGCAUCUAUGAAUAAUUAUUCAGGAAACUAUUAGAGGACACUGAUCACCCUUUAUACUUUGAAUUACAAUAAUAAAGCCUUGGAAUAAGAAUGAAUACUGAAUUGGAGAAAGUAAAGGACACUUGGAGUGAGAUAAGGAAACUCCUUGCCAUCAACAUUAAUUUUCUCAUCUGCUAAAUGAAGGGCUCCAAAACGAUUUGACCUCAAUUGCAGAGUUACUUACUGGGGUGAAGAAAAAAAAGCUAAAAUUCCUAUCUAAGGCACUUUCUAUCACCACAGCUGCAUUAGAACUAAUCAGUCAUUGUCUUCUAAGACCGCAUGCCCCUCCCCCAGAAGUCAAUGGUCUUCUACAUCAGAAUUCCAGGAUGCAUCAUUUAGAACAUUUGGCUGGAGCGGAGAAGGAAAGUUGCUGGCAUCGUGGCUAUUCUUUUGUGGUCUACAGGCAAUCCAAACAACAGUUGUGUGCUGUUAUAUUUCAAUUCUCAAAGACUGGUGGGAUCCCAUGUUAUGGUAUGCUUAAAAUAAAAACAGAGAGACCUCCUUUCUGAGGCUGUGGGUCGACAUGCAGUUUUGUGCCACUUCAUCAGAACUCGGUCUUUUGACCAGAGCGUUUAUUACAAAGUGCAGCAAAGCACAACACAACCGCAAGAGAAACAUUAGAACUCUCUCCCCCUUGGGAAUUAGUCUGAAGAGAUUUUCCUUCAGAAAUCACAUGUCUGCCUCGGUGCUCACUAUGCCCUGAACUCUUUUCCCUGCAUUCAUCUCCCAUGGGCUUCUGCAAAGAAAAAACCUUGGUAAGUUGGGAACCAGGCUAAUACACAUUUUAUGGCCUCUUUCAUUGAAUGUCCACCCUUCUUUGGAAUGCCAACUAUCUCAUCAAGUUAUCUUUGGGAGUGAGAGUUGGGUUGGCACAGAGGCACUCUUAGUCCUAAUGAAGUUGAGAUGUGGGACAGAAUAUGUAAACGAAGAUAUCCUUCGGCGACUGGGAAAAAAAAACUGAGCAAGUCUAAUAUUUUGAAAUUAGAAAAACUGAAAUAAGGGAAUUUAUUGUAUGUGGAGUUAACUCACCUAUGCACAGAAGGCUUCUGAACGUCUGUCACUGGCUUCCCAAACAGCUCCUGUCCCCCUCCUGUUGGUUUAGGUUCAGGACAGACUACUUUGCAUCUCUAUUCUUUUUCUGUGAUCCUGAGAAGGUUAAAGAUAGAAAAGGAUUUCAAUUUGCUUUUUUUAUUUUUAAUCUCUAUUUUCCCUUCUUAAAAAAAGAAACGUUGCACUUGGCUGGAACUUCUAUUCCAUAGUUGCCUGAGGCUGGGUUGGAGCUGCAAAGUUGCAAAAUAAAUCAGAACAAGCUGUGCUCUGGUGUUUCUAAAUUAUUAAACAUUUACAUUUGACUGGUCAAACAGCGUCUUUUUUCUAAAUGUAUACACCCUUGAUUGAGCGGCAGAGUUUGGUGUCGGUAAUUUGGAGGGUACCUCAUUCUAUCAGAAGACAUAGUUUAGGCCCAAGUCAGCUAAACUCUGCUGAUGGGAUAGAAAAUUUAAGUACAAGGGUGGACUUUUAAAAAAAACUUACACCCAUAGAGUACAUAAACACUCUAAACCAGCAAGGCAAAGAAAAUGAUGUGUUUAUGAUGCUAAUUACUGAACUUCCCCAGCUCAGGCCAAGAUAUAUUAAAAAGUUGCUUAGACUGGCAACGUACCUUGUUCCAUUGUUAGGCGUUAGCCUUA
This is a long non-coding RNA of Felis catus (domestic cat), 1759 nucleotides long. RefSeq lists it as uncharacterized. The record is from RefSeq and is a predicted model, not a curated record. NCBI's taxonomy places the organism in Eukaryota, Metazoa, Chordata, Mammalia, Carnivora, Felidae. The transcript is spliced from 3 exons.